ACAGAUGGGAGCUUGCUCCCUGAUGUUAGCGGCGGACGGGUGAGUAACACGUGGGUAACCUGCCUGUAAGACUGGGAUAACUCCGGGAAACCGGGGCUAAUACCGGAUGGUUGUUUGAACCGCAUGGUUCAAACAUAAAAGGUGGCUUCGGCUACCACUUACAGAUGGACCCGCGGCGCAUUAGCUAGUUGGUGAGGUAACGGCUCACCAAGGCAACGAUGCGUAGCCGACCUGAGAGGGUGAUCGGCCACACUGGGACUGAGACACGGCCCAGACUCCUACGGGAGGCAGCAGUAGGGAAUCUUCCGCAAUGGACGAAAGUCUGACGGAGCAACGCCGCGUGAGUGAUGAAGGUUUUCGGAUCGUAAAGCUCUGUUGUUAGGGAAGAACAAGUACCGUUCGAAUAGGGCGGUACCUUGACGGUACCUAACCAGAAAGCCACGGCUAACUACGUGCCAGCAGCCGCGGUAAUACGUAGGUGGCAAGCGUUGUCCGGAAUUAUUGGGCGUAAAGGGCUCGCAGGCGGUUUCUUAAGUCUGAUGUGAAAGCCCCCGGCUCAACCGGGGAGGGUCAUUGGAAACUGGGGAACUUGAGUGCAGAAGAGGAGAGUGGAAUUCCACGUGUAGCGGUGAAAUGCGUAGAGAUGUGGA
Molecule: ribosomal RNA, 650 nt
Filed under: Bacillus subtilis
Lineage: Bacteria; Bacillati; Bacillota; Bacilli; Caryophanales; Bacillaceae
Description: bacterial SSU rRNA
Rfam family: Bacterial small subunit ribosomal RNA
Source: RNAcentral